GGUGGCUCAGUGGUAGAGUGCUUGCCUUGCAUGCAUGAGGCCCUGGGUUCAAGUCCUAAGCACCA
This 65-nucleotide transfer RNA is filed under the name Dipodomys ordii (Ord's kangaroo rat). It matches the Rfam family "tRNA". Rfam says of the family: Transfer RNA (tRNA) molecules are approximately 80 nucleotides in length. Their secondary structure includes four short double-helical elements and three loops (D, anti-codon, and T loops). Further hydrogen bonds mediate the characteristic L-shaped molecular structure. tRNAs have two regions of fundamental functional importance: the anti-codon, which is responsible for specific mRNA codon recognition, and the 3' end, to which the tRNAs corresponding amino acid is attached (by aminoacyl-tRNA synthetases). tRNAs cope with the degeneracy of the genetic code in two manners: having more than one tRNA (with a specific anti-codon) for a particular amino acid; and 'wobble' base-pairing, i.e. permitting non-standard base-pairing at the 3rd anti-codon position. The record is from Rfam by way of RNAcentral. Lineage: Eukaryota; Metazoa; Chordata; Mammalia; Rodentia; Heteromyidae.